AAAACGACUCUCGACAACGGAUAUCUCGGCUCUCGCAUCGAUGAAGAACGUAGCGAAAUGCGAUACUUGGUGUGAAUUGCAGAAUCCCGUGAACCAUCGAGUUUUUGAACGCAAGUUGCGCCCAAAACCUUCGGGUCGAGGGCACGUCUGCCUGGGUGUCACGC
RNAcentral lists this ribosomal RNA (164 nucleotides) under Breynia mollis. Its description in RNAcentral is "5.8S ribosomal RNA". It matches the Rfam family "5.8S ribosomal RNA". From Rfam's summary of the family: 5.8S ribosomal RNA (5.8S rRNA) is a component of the large subunit of the eukaryotic ribosome. It is transcribed by RNA polymerase I as part of the 45S precursor that also contains 18S and 28S rRNA. Functionally, it is thought that 5.8S rRNA may be involved in ribosome translocation. Lineage: Eukaryota; Viridiplantae; Streptophyta; Magnoliopsida; Malpighiales; Phyllanthaceae. The record is from RNAcentral.